CGCAAACUGCGAUUUGAAGAUAUGUGACUUCGGCCUUGCGAGAACGAGCAACACCAAGGGACAGUUCAUGACCGAAUAUGUAGUGACUCGUUGGUACAGAGCACCUGAGCUUCUCCUCUGCUGUGACAACUACGGAACAUCCAUCGAUGUUUGGUCCGUUGGUUGCAUUUUCGCCGAGCUUCUCGGUAGAAAACCGAUUUUCCAAGGAACUGAAUGCUUAAACCAGCUUAAACUCAUUGUCAACAUUCUUGGUAGCCAAAGAGACGAAGAUCUUGAGUUCAUAGAUAACCCCAAACGUGAAUCUUUUUGUUAACUGGUUUGGGCUUUAAUUUAAGCCCAUAUAAUAAGACAAGAUCAUGUAGGCAUCACCCACUUUCCUCCAAAAGAUAACGUACGAACAAGCAAGUAGAGAGUCAACUGUCCGAACGUUGACCAAAUCUCUCACUUCCUUCCACGGUUCCAUCUUCUCUCCCAGGCCAAUCCUAAGAUCUCACCCUCAUCGGUGAUCGUCGGCGUACACCAACUGUUUCUACCUCAUCCCUACUUUCUCCGGUAAACAUUUUUCACAUUCUGAUCUCACAAGUUCCUUUAAAAAUUCGACUAAGAUUGUCAAGCUUAAUAUUUGAUCUUUUCAUUUUCACUUUUGAUAGACAAUCUUUUUGCGCAAGAAAUUCACUGAAAUACAGCUUAAAUUCUAAAGUUUGUGCUAUUACAAGUAAAUCAAUUCUUUAGUUUUUUUUAAAAAAUCUAUAAUUUUGUGUUCUUGAGGUGUUAGUUGAUGUUCGUGUGAUCAAAGUGUUAUGAAAAAAAUUAUAUAUUUUUUGGAUGAACACGUAUGAAAAAAUUAUGAGUUUUUGGAUGAAUAGUUAUGAAAAAAUUAUAUUUUUUUUCUGUGUAUCAAUUUAAUUUCUUGAUUGGUGAAUUGUGAUGAAGAAGGAGAAGAAACUAAUGGCGACACCAGUUGAUCCUCCUAAUGGUGUUAGGAACCAAGGGAAGCAUUACUUCACCAUGUGGCAAAACCUGUUCGAGAUCGACACUAAGUACAUGCCAAUCAAACCCAUUGGCCGUGGUGCAUACGGUGUAGUCUGCUCUUCUGUUAACACUGACAACAACGAGAAAGUCGCUAUCAAGAAGAUUCACAAUGUCUAUGAGAACAGGAUUGAUGCUUUGAGGACCCUUCGCGAGCUCAAGCUUCUACGCCAUCUUAGACAUGAGAAUGUCAUUGCUUUGAAAGAUGUCAUGAUGCCAAUUCAUAAGAGGAGCUUCAAGGAUGUGUAUCUUGUUUAUGAGCUCAUGGAUACUGAUCUCCACCAAAUUAUCAAGUCUUCUCAAGUGCUUAGUAAUGAUCACUGCCAAUACUUCUUGUUCCAGGUACGUGAUUGGUUUGUAUCCUAUCAAUUACCGGAUGGAUCCUAUCUCUAGAACCGAAAAAUAAAAACCUAGGAAUACCCAAAUUUCUAUAAUAUAGUUUAUAUACUUAUAAAUAUUAACUAUAUUUAAUUUUAAAAUAAUCAAAUAAUAAAAAAAUAUUAUUUAUAAACCGAAAUACAUUAAAAAAACUACCAUAAUACGUUAUCCGAAAUAUUUAAAAUUAUCCAAACUGUCUAAAUUUAUAUCCAGAAAACCUAAUUUUCUGACUUCUUAGCCCAAAUCAACCAAAAAAUUGAAACUAAUUUGGAACCGAAUGGAUCCGAAACUAUUUGGAUAUUAGUUGGUUCUCAACUUUAUUACCCAAGCCGAACAAAAAAAACUGAAACAAACAAACCAAAGUCAAACCAAAAUUUUUAAAUAUCUGGACGGAUCCUAAACCUAUAGAACCAAACCAAGAAGGCUAGGUUCUAGCUUUGUGCAUGUCUUGCUUUCUGCUUAAGUUUUGCUUUGUUCUUUUGUGUAGUUGCUUCGAGGGCUCAAGUAUAUACACUCAGCCAACAUCCUCCACCGAGAUUUGAAACCAGGUAACCUCCUUAUCAACGCAAACUGCGAUUUGAAGAUAUGUGACUUCGGCCUUGCGAGAACGAGCAACACCAAGGGACAGUUCAUGACCGAAUAUGUAGUGACUCGUUGGUACAGAGCACCUGAGCUUCUCCUCUGCUGUGACAACUACGGAACAUCCAUCGAUGUUUGGUCCGUUGGUUGCAUUUUCGCCGAGCUUCUCGGUAGAAAACCGAUUUUCCAAGGAACUGAAUGCUUAAACCAGCUUAAACUCAUUGUCAACAUUCU
RNAcentral lists this long non-coding RNA (2220 nucleotides) under Brassica napus (rape). RNAcentral's name for it is "long non-coding RNA (BNAP_LNC004833)". Lineage: Eukaryota; Viridiplantae; Streptophyta; Magnoliopsida; Brassicales; Brassicaceae. The record is from RNAcentral.